GCGCCCGUAGCUCAGCUGGAUAGAGCAACAGCCUUCUAAGCUGUGGGUCAGAGGUUCGAAUCCUCUCGGGCGCGCCA
Molecule: transfer RNA, 77 nt
Filed under: Rhodospirillaceae bacterium
Lineage: Bacteria; Pseudomonadati; Pseudomonadota; Alphaproteobacteria; Rhodospirillales; Rhodospirillaceae
Also listed under: 4 other names
Description: tRNA-Arg
Rfam family: tRNA
About the family: Transfer RNA (tRNA) molecules are approximately 80 nucleotides in length. Their secondary structure includes four short double-helical elements and three loops (D, anti-codon, and T loops). Further hydrogen bonds mediate the characteristic L-shaped molecular structure. tRNAs have two regions of fundamental functional importance: the anti-codon, which is responsible for specific mRNA codon recognition, and the 3' end, to which the tRNAs corresponding amino acid is attached (by aminoacyl-tRNA synthetases). tRNAs cope with the degeneracy of the genetic code in two manners: having more than one tRNA (with a specific anti-codon) for a particular amino acid; and 'wobble' base-pairing, i.e. permitting non-standard base-pairing at the 3rd anti-codon position.
Source: RNAcentral